GGGGCCGUAGCUCAGCUGGGAGAGCACCUGCUUUGCAAGCAGGGGGUCGUCGGUU
Molecule: transfer RNA, 55 nt
Filed under: Candidatus Bartonella washoeensis subsp. cynomyis
Lineage: Bacteria; Pseudomonadati; Pseudomonadota; Alphaproteobacteria; Hyphomicrobiales; Bartonellaceae
Description: partial tRNA-Ala
Rfam family: tRNA
About the family: Transfer RNA (tRNA) molecules are approximately 80 nucleotides in length. Their secondary structure includes four short double-helical elements and three loops (D, anti-codon, and T loops).
Source: RNAcentral